This is a long non-coding RNA of Numida meleagris (helmeted guineafowl), 2575 nucleotides long. RefSeq lists it as uncharacterized. The record is from RefSeq and is a predicted model, not a curated record. NCBI's taxonomy places the organism in Eukaryota, Metazoa, Chordata, Aves, Galliformes, Numididae. The transcript is spliced from 3 exons.
CGCGGUGCUUACUGGGAGCGGUAGUUCUGUUGGUACGGCGCGGCAGCUGCCGGGGACGGCAGCCAUCAUUGCGACCUGGUGCUUGUGGCGGGGAGGGCCCGCUUCGCCACGCCGCCGUGCGGUGGUGGGCGGGCAGGCAGGCAGGCAGCCCCACGGGCCCUACGCGGGUGUCAUCUGAGCCCCAGCCUGGCCAGGGUGUGAUGCACGAGAGGAAGAGGCUUAUUUAGUUGGGAAGGGAAGACUGUGGGCAGUUCCUGCCCCUCUGACUGCCUACUGAGGAACACAAGUGUGGUUAGGAGCAGACACUGGAAGUUGCAGUCAUAGCAUAACCCAGAAGCGUUUCAGGAAAAAAAGUCUGCAGACAGAAUGGGAUUUUCACUGGUCUCUCUCCCACCUCUCUACUUGAAUUUCUGUUGGUCUACACACUGAUGACAGCUUGCUGUGAUGUCAAAAAAAAAAAAACAAAAACAACAACAACAACAACAAAAACCCUCUAUUUAAGAGAUGAAAUAAGUUUGGCGUUUAUUGGCCCGAUGACUGGGAGCUUCUGUUUUGCUUCACUGCAGUGCCAUUCAUGAGAUGUUGCAAGGCCAAGAGCUGAAUGCAGCUAUGAGAUUAGCUGCUCCUUCCCCAUCCACCAGCAGCCUGCCUUGGUGGGCCUGAAUCUUGGAUUAAAUUUGUUCCUGGGUCUGGAGCACAUCAUUCAGCUUCUGCUCAGCUAAGGUGUCCCAUGUAGAAGCAGAGACAGCCAUACCACAGAAACUGUGUGACAGGAAAAAUCGAUCACUUGUAUGAUGUUUUGGUGGAAACAAUGUGCUGCAAAUCACAACCUGGAGCACAGGAAUGAGGAUAUGAUUGGGAGUCUCAUCAUCUGCUUGAAUCAUGAGAGUGAUAAUGAUAAUGAACAAGAGUCCUAGCAGUCUCCCAGGAGGACAUUUUCUCAUUUGCAUUGUGGUGUGUAUAUGAAAUCCAUAGAGAUGUCAGUCAGAUGUAUCAAUUUUAUCUAUUGGGCAUGACAACAAAAGGAUGAACAGAGGAAUGCACUCAGAUAUAGCUACUUUAACACUCAGCUCCCCAGGCCAAGUUUAAGAGGUUUUGCAGUAUGUUUAGACAGAGAAAAGUCCUUCUUUUCUGUUUGUGGGGUACUGAUGCUGAUGUCUCGGAAUAUUUAUUUUAUGGUGAUUCUGUUCUUUUCCUGAAGGUAUCACCUAGAGUACAUCAGUGAGUUUAUACAUGGCAUAAGAACAUUUGGGCCUUUCUGGUGAAUCACUGGCACAGGCAAUCUAUUUUAUUUAACACUUAGAAAAAGUAUUUUCAAAGGUACUCUAGGAGCAACUGUGCUAUGUCAUACCUAUUUUCACAGAAGAGAUAUUCCAUGACCUAAAUUAUUUCUAAUCUAGGUAUGCAAGAGAAACAGUAAGAAAUAGAAUAGAAAAGGUUGUUCUUCACACAGUGUGAAGUGGAGGAACACAGAAACUGACUAUACAACUCCAGAACAGACAAUGAGCGUGGAGACCAAGUAUGGUUUGAAACAACAUGUAUCAAACACUACUCAAGGCAGGUCCCUACAGAAUCAACCUUCUUCCAUUCCUAUAAGGAAAGGGACUUGUAUCAAGGGUAGCCAGCAAAAGAUCUAGUGGGUCAGAAGUGUCCUCAUUUAUACAUUGCUCUUUGGAGAGAGUGGUAAUGGCAUUUCCUAAUUGUCUUUUGAGUACAGGAACUAAAGUUGGCAUUAUUUUCUGAAUGUCCAGCAUACUUCAUUGUAACCAAUACAUAGUUCAAAUAUGACUAAGUUGUCAGCAAGCUCAUAUGGUGUUAUACAAACUCAGUCUGGUUUUAUUUCCGAUUGUACCAUGUGGAACCAAUAGCACUUGACAGCGUAUCCCACAAUGCCUCUUAUGUACUCUAGUCUAUCUGAAAUGGGGAAAGAAAUUUUGAAAGCACCCAAAAAGAAAACAGGCUCAUCAGCCUGAGUCAAGGUCCUUAAUGUUGCUUCAUACCUUCCCAGCACCUCUAGUCAAUUGACGUCUGCUUUGCAUGAGUCUUUGCCUAUGCUAAGGCUUACAACGUACCUGCAGGGUUCUUAAACCUAUUUCUGACAACGCUGAUGGAAUCAUUCCGACAUUAGUCAGAUUACUCUUACAAGACAAGCAAAGAUGUUAGCCACGGCAUGUCUUCUUUUCUCAGCAUCAUUCCCCCACACACUGUCAUGUGAGUAGCAAGUGUCUGUUUAGCCUGGAGAAGAGUUUGUUGGAAGCAGAUACUGUAAAGUUAGAGCCAUUCUAGAAAAAGAGUGCUUUGCUGCUGAAAAUGAUCCAUCCACCAAAGCAGAAAUGAGCCUCUCUGUGCAAUCACAAUAAAAUAAUAGCCCCACGCCAGCUCUCUCUCUCUUUCUUGAAUGAUUGUGCUGUGUAUAGGUCUGCUGGACUGCAUCAAUACCUUCUUACAGCCAAUAAUUCAUCCUCAUGCUUUUGGCUCAGUCCCGCUGCUCAGAUAUGCAAGAGCAUGCUUCUGCCCAUUUGAAAAAUCAGCUGCUGUGUAUGCACACACCAGCGCCGUAGUAGACUUUACAAGA